UCUAGAUCUCUACGUGCAUCGAAUUUUUUUUCCAUCCCACGAUGUUUGGAAACUCGUCGACCAUUUUCACCGGCCAAUCGGCGAAGUCGAUUCGAGGAACGUGGCGAUAAAAAAUAUUUGCUCGAAAAUAUCAACGAAAGGUAGAACGUGUUGCCACUGCAUGGAAUUGUGAUUGUUCCAACAGGUUUCGAAAAAAGGAUAUGGACGCAUCUUUUCUUAAGAAACUGCUUCUAGAAAGAGUUGAUCGAUUAACCUUUCAAAAGAAAUUCAAAAUCUUACCAUUUCAAUCAACAACUAAGUCUUAGGUUAAUCUUUUUAAUACAUAAAAUAUAAUAACUUGAACAGUUUUGUAUCUCUACAUUUGAAUCUCUUUUAACUUGAAAGAUAUUAAAUCUUCUCUGAUUCAAAAUUUGUUCGAAAAUAUUACACAAAUUUUUCUAAUUUUUUUUUUUAAGAAAUAGCAAUAUUUCUACCGUGUGCAAAAUCCGAUAUCUGAAAGAUCACAUUAUUAUAUGAUUAUUCCUGAACUAGAAUCCAUGACAUAACCGUACAUGCCACCUGCGUUAAAUACAUUAAUUAAUCGCUACUAUAAAUACUACGUCCGAGUUAAAAGUGGGUUAAAGUGGGUAAAAGUAUCCGUUCGUUGAGUGGCGAGGCUCAAAGAAAUGGAAAUCAAUCGAACGUCGAUCAGAUGCAUGGCGCGAUUAGCGCAAUUAAGCGCCACUUGGGAGCGCGUAUGUGAGCGGACUCGUUAAUCACGCGAGUCACAACAUCGGGAGCAGACACGUUUCGACAAGCGUGAAUCGAAGAAAUUUGAUUUUGACGCCGUUAACGAAAAAUCGGGGAACAUUUACUAUUGUAUGAUGUGAACGGUAGAAAAUAAUACGUCUUUUUUCCGGACAAAUUUGACGAAGAAAUGCAAAAGCGACUUCGCAGUCACGUAUUCGAACACGGCCGAAUUACGCGAGAGCCACAAUUUCCUGUUGGCUUUCAUCUUUGGAGAACAGUGACGACGAGUAAACGACACCCAAAGUAAAAGGGAAAGGAAACAAGGGGAAGAGCUUUUUGGUCACGUUCAAGAUGCCUCGAGAAGAGCUCGAGCCUGUGUAACCAAGACACUUGCGAUUCAAACGGUUGAAACGAAAAACUGGCAGAGUUAAGGAUUGUUUUCUUUAGCUUUUCUCGGUGAACGCAACGAUUUUAAUAGACUUUGCAGUAAUAAAACUUUGUCCGACAGCCACGUACCUACGCGAUAGUCGUCGCCAAUAAUUGCCACCUGUUUCGAAGACACGCGGGAAAAACGUGGCGUCUAUUUAGCAAAAAUGAUCACUCUUUCCUUCGUCAACAUCGCUCAACGUUAUUACGUUACGACGUGCCUCCACCGAUCAUCGUGACGAGGGUGAAACCUGGCAUGGGACACGUUCAAGGGAACGAGUCGAGAUCAACGAGUAUCCCGGCACGGACACGCGUAAGAGAGACGCAUGCACGAGCGAUAGACAUAGGCGAAUACACAUGGACGCGUAACCGCAGAAAAAGCAACGGCAACACAGUAACGGAGAGACGCACAGGCACACUAUAUGCAAUUACCGCGUACAGAGAGUCUCGUUUCCACGCGUCGACCACGCGCGCUGCUCUUUGUCCCGUUCGCGAUCGAGUCAGAAACCAUGGAAAACGAAGAAGGCUCGAGCAAAAAAGCCUCGUGGGUCCAUUAAGGGUACCAGCCGCGUCCUCGUAAACGCUUCAUCGCCGCUUAAGGAGGUUCGCAUUCGUAACGACGAGCCACCGCACAACCACGACGAAACGACGCGAGCAAACAGCACACACACACACGCACAGAGCACCACCGACGAAGCGACGACAACACGACGAAAGCAAGAAUGGAACGGCGACGAGAGGUAACGAUUAUUACAGGACGAUCUUUCGCGGACAACACGGACCGCCAGUCGCGGAAAUUAAGGAGUCGCGUUAUAAAACGCAACGACCUACAAUGCUACAAAUGCCACGGAACCGUCCUCUGUGUCUCUUCUGGCCUCCCCCGUCUCGCCUACCCCUGCUCGACCAGCCGCCAUCGCCGCCGCCACUGCCUCCUUUUCCUCCGUUCGUUCGACGUGUAUCCCUCCUCCUUUUAGCUUUUUCCUCCCCUUGCCAGAGCCCCUUCUUAGGCCGACGCCGUCCCCUCCUCGCCUCGCCUUCGCCAACCACCACCCCCCACCAUCACUUUUCUUCCUACGAUACGAUGCGAUACGAUACGAAACGAUACGAUAGGACGCGCGAUCCGAUGCGAUACCGAUGCGAUGCGAUCUGAACCUAUGCCCCGCGCCGCCUCGUCCUCCCUCCCUUCCCCUCUCCACGCGCUGCUCUCCACACGUUCGGCCGGGAACGUACGGAGGAGACCUUACACUUAAGCUUCGACCCCUCUUUUUUCUCGCUUUAUUUUUCUCGCGUCGAGCUUUCCUCGCUUUAAGGCCGUCACCUUUACGCGUAUUCACCGAGUUUCAGUAGCUAUCUCCUAUGCAACCGAUUACAAUUUUAUGGAACAGGCUUGGUGGGGAUUGUUUUGCGAGUCUGGAUGCAGCGGCAGCGUGCGUCAUUAAUCGGUGAUAAGAGACGCGAAGGAAACGAAAAGGUCCGAGUAUCGACGAUGUGUACCGAAGAACCUUGUCGGAUUAUUCGCAUCCGAACCUAUCGCGAUCGGGAAUUUCCAGUUGGGUUUCGCUCGAAAAUAACCUUUGGGUAUCGCUUUUUUCUUGUCGCUUAAUUCGGCUCAAGAUUUAAUAUUGAAAUUUAUCCAACUGUGUUUUGGAUCUUUUCCAUCGAUUUUUUUUUAAAAAAUGAAUCGAAAUUUGAUAUUUAGAUUCGUGAAAUUGGGAUUCGAAACUUCGUUUAGUAUUGGGAAUCUCGAAAUUUGAAACUCUGGAAACCGAUAAUUGUUUAUUUUUUCCUUUCUUUCUUUCUUUCUUUUUUUUUUUUCAAGGAAUAAAUACGUUAUACUCUCUAUUUCGUUAAAAAUUGAAAUUUUAGUAAAUUUUCAACCAGUGGCGAUCACAGUUAUCUUCUUGACUUGCAAAAAACUGAACUUUUUUUUUAUAAACUAUUCAUAUCGUCACGAGAUUCUCGCAAGUUAUUUGUGCGAAUUGUUUCUUAUUUGGAUUUUAAAACUUUUCGAAUUUCAAAGAUCUCGAGCGUACGUAUAAUAAUAUUACACGUUAAUAUAAACUUCAUUUGAACUGUGUUAAUUCAUUAAACAGACCACGUGACUCGGUCGUUUCUUUACUACGACGAACAAGUUUGUUUAAUAAAACGAAACAAAAGAUGAAGAGGGGAAAAUUGAUUCGAUGCAAAUGAUCUGUUUGCACUGCCAAUGUAUUUUCGAAAGGAUCGGAAUUUUACAAGUAGGCCUUAUCGUUUAAUUCCCCGCCGGUCGAGAAAUACGUAACCGUAUCGAUAACCUUUCGCGUUGGAACUUCGGUCGGUCACUUCGAGACGAGCACUAUUUUUCAGGGGGAAAAAAAAUGUGUGUCCUUGGAAAUUUCUCGACCACGGAAAUAACAAAGGCGAGAAAAGAAUGGUCUGACCUGUUUCGCGACGAGGACCGAGCGAUUCGCAAAUCGAUGAGCGGGCGAAGGAAGGAGAAACACCUCUUAGACGGAACAUACGACAAAGACGGAUAGAAAAUACCACGCAAGGAGGGACGCUCGCGUGCGAAACGAUUCUGAAAGAACAAUCGAGAAGGUUCGAGCUGAAACGGCUCCCUGAUCCAAUUUCUUUUUCCAUUCUACACAAAUUUCGGUCGCACGAUGCACUCCUCGAUAAUGAUACAACACAUUAAGCGAUGUAUCAAUAUUUCUGUUGCGGAUGAUAUCGCUUAUCUGGCCGUGCUUUGUGGACUUCUCGUUGGAACAUCCCGGUCCGGAGACGCGAUGUAACGCGUGGAAGCCACAAGUGGUUCCUCUGGAAUCACGAGUUCCGUAGUGGGGAUGAUUUUUGGACUAUACAUGUACUUUUCUGCGCUUUAUUUUCUACAUCGAGCACACAAAUUGUUGCAAGAUAUAAUUUUUUCUUUCUUUCUCUCUCUUCGGUGAAGAAUUGGUCGGAUCGAUGGAAAUUAGUCGGAAAUUAAACCAGGGCAUCCUUUAUCUAGUAAUUUAAUAGACCGAAACACGUUUCAAAUUCUGCGGAACAAACGAUUGGAUUUCAAACAAUGGCUUCGAUCUUCUGGAUCAAAAUCGACGGUUCAGUUUUUAUCGGAUUGACGAAUAUAAAAUGAAUUAUUUGAGAGUUUUUAUAUGAUGAACGAUUAAUGCUUAUAUUUUUGGAAGUUUAAAUUUCAUUCCAAUUGUUCAAAAUUGAAUCAAAGAAAUUUACAACGAAUCGUAUAAUGUCUAACGAGAUUUCUAAUAACGGAAAUAUAUGUAUUUCUAUCUAGAAAAUAUUCGUUAUUACGUAUGCAGCAAUUUAAUAAUUUAUUCAUUUCGUUAUAUUCACUGGUAAGUGUUUCCAUGAGAACAAGAUGACCUUUUGCUUUUUGAAGUAUUCGACAUUCACAUCAUAAUCAUUUUACCAAAAACAAAAACAUUAUUAUGUUGCAACGAAUGCAUAUAAUAAGAUGCAAAGAUAUUAAUCAGAAAAGCGUAAAAACAAAAUACUUUUGAAUCUCUCUCAACGAUAAGCUCCAAGGUUACCAUACAUGUAUACGCACGGUAUACAUGUUUUACGUUCCUCCGUAGAGCGUUACCACCACUUCCGGUUAUUAGACGGUGACCAGCUGUUCUUCCAAGUGUAUUAAAGUCAGUUGCCUUAAUAUAGAAUAUUUCUUUCACGAAACUUGUAUAAAAAACUUAGAUAUCAUGGAUAAUAGAUGCGUAGAAAAUUUCAUAAUAAAUUAAUUUUACUUUUGUAUUUUUAAUCGUAUCGAUGAUACCAUUUACGAUUUUGUUUACAAUUGUAAUAUUUACAAUGCUAUCGAGAUAUUCCACGAAAAAGAAAUCAUUUUUUUUUUUUAAUCUUCAAAAUUAUUGCCUUACAGAGAUAAGAAUCGACAUUUCUCUCGACAAUUGUUGCGCGAUUAAUAUUACGUUGAAAAUUAUUUUGAAAAUCUCAAAGAUCCAUUUCUUUAAUAUUCCUUCGCUGUUAAUUCUGACUUAAUAAUUUGUUCAUACGCUCAAAUAAAACGAAUGACGAAUCUGCUUCGUUUAUUGUCGAUAUAUGAUGUAUCUUUCAUGUAUUCAUUAAUAACCAUUCCGCAUUAGUCACGUAUUAGGGCAACCAAAUCGAUCUUUUUCCUCGGCAAUUUUCAAUGCGAAAGGACACACACACACAAGAUUCGUCGGUUAAAACAGCGAUGCGGUUUUUUCGACUUUUCUGUUAAUUAAAAAAUCGGCGGUGAUGGGGGAAAAAAAACAAAAAAGCACGUCUUCCAAUGGAUAACAAAACCACAAGUACACAUAACAUUUAUACAACAAGUUACGUGUAUGCAAAACGAGAAAAAAUAUUGUAUUAGGUUACGCUUCAUCGAGCCACAUCCACGUGUAAUCGUGCGUGCGUACACAUCGCACACAAACGUCGAUCUUCAGCGAGAUCCACUAAAGCGAGCGUUAGUCAAGUGCACUCGACGAUUACUAGGCGACAUACUCCACUGAUCUUCACACACGUCUUUCUUCCGAGUCGAAGACUACAACGAAACUUUUACUCGUCUUUGGUUUCCCUCUCGUAUCGUUCGAGGACCGGAAGUCGAAACAUUUGACGAAUCCAUUUCUUUUUUCUGAUCGAUUUUUCUUUUCCACGAUGUUUACUUGGUCAGAAAGGAUAUUUCAAUCCCCUCAAGAUGCAUUAUUAUUAUUGUUGUUAUUAUUAUAUUAUAUUAUUUUAUUAUGACACGGGAUGAAAUAAUAUAUAAAAAUUUUCAUAACGAGAAACGAGGUUGUUUGACAUCGUAAAAAUAAAGGUUUAAAUGCGUGGAAGUUGAAAGUGAAAAAAUAAUCUGGCGGUUGAUCAAUGGAAAUUUGAAAACAUCAUCGAAAGAUCAUUUUUUUCUCCGGUACAUGUUAAUACAUCGAGGUUAAAAAAGUAAAAAACUUGACAGGUAAAGCCAUUUUAAUCGCAAUUACAUUUAUGAUUACAUAUGAGAUUAAAGAAUAAAGGAUAAAGAAUAAAUUCCCCUUUUUUUCAAUGUUUAAAUUUGACAAAUUACUACUAGAUUUUUUUUUUAAAACGGAUAGUUAUUAAAUAUUCUUCCACAAAGGAUUCUUUUCUUCUAUAAAAAUUAGAAUAUGAUAAAAGAAUAGAUAAAUAGAAGAAUAUGAUAAAUUUUCCCUCGAAAAAUUUGUCCCGUGAAUUUCAAGAAAGCUCGCCCAUUAUUUUUGAUUCGUCCAUUGUAUCCAUUGCCGUUCGAUUCAUUUCAAAAAGUUUUUGGAUACGGUGUGAAAAAUAAACAAAUUUCACAGGGUACGAAGGUAGACUAAUCCAUCUGGGGCAACGUUGUUCGACCCGUUCAUCGGUUCGUUGGAUUCUCUCCUUUUUUUCUUUUUUUUUUUUUUUUUCCCCCCUCCAUCUUCGCUACACGCAGGGGAGAAAUGGAUG
This is a long non-coding RNA of Apis cerana (Asiatic honeybee), 6579 nucleotides long. RefSeq lists it as uncharacterized. NCBI's taxonomy places the organism in Eukaryota, Metazoa, Arthropoda, Insecta, Hymenoptera, Apidae. The record is from RefSeq and is a predicted model, not a curated record.